AAAUUGAAGAGUUUGAUCAUGGCUCAGAUUGAACGCUGGCGGCAGGCCUAACACAUGCAAGUCGAACGGUAACAGGAAACAGCUUGCUGUUUCGCUGACGAGUGGCGGACGGGUGAGUAAUGUCUGGGAAACUGCCUGAUGGAGGGGGAUAACUACUGGAAACGGUAGCUAAUACCGCAUAACGUCGCAAGACCAAAGAGGGGGACCUUCGGGCCUCUCGCCAUCGGAUGUGCCCAGAUGGGAUUAGCUAGUAGGUGGGGUAACGGCUCACCUAGGCGACGAUCCCUAGCUGGUCUGAGAGGAUGACCAGCCACACUGGAACUGAGACACGGUCCAGACUCCUACGGGAGGCAGCAGUGGGGAAUAUUGCACAAUGGGCGCAAGCCUGAUGCAGCCAUGCCGCGUGUAUGAAGAAGGCCUUCGGGUUGUAAAGUACUUUCAGCGGGGAGGAAGGGAGUAAAGUUAAUACCUUUGCUCAUUGACGUUACCCGCAGAAGAAGCACCGGCUAACUCCGUGCCAGCAGCCGCGGUAAUACGGAGGGUGCAAGCGUUAAUCGGAAUUACUGGGCGUAAAGCGCACGCAGGCGGUUUGUUAAGUCAGAUGUGAAAUCCCCGGGCUCAACCUGGGAACUGCAUCUGAUACUGGCAAGCUUGAGUCUCGUAGAGGGGGGUAGAAUUCCAGGUGUAGCGGUGAAAUGCGUAGAGAUCUGGAGGAAUACCGGUGGCGAAGGCGGCCCCCUGGACGAAGACUGACGCUCAGGUGCGAAAGCGUGGGGAGCAAACAGGAUUAGAUACCCUGGUAGUCCACGCCGUAAACGAUGUCGACUUGGAGGUUGUGCCCUUGAGGCGUGGCUUCCGGAGCUAACGCGUUAAGUCGACCGCCUGGGGAGUACGGCCGCAAGGUUAAAACUCAAAUGAAUUGACGGGGGCCCGCACAAGCGGUGGAGCAUGUGGUUUAAUUCGAUGCAACGCGAAGAACCUUACCUGGUCUUGACAUCCACAGAACUUUCCAGAGAUGGAUUGGUGCCUUCGGGAACUGUGAGACAGGUGCUGCAUGGCUGUCGUCAGCUCGUGUUGUGAAAUGUUGGGUUAAGUCCCGCAACGAGCGCAACCCUUAUCCUUUGUUGCCAGCGGUCCGGCCGGGAACUCAAAGGAGACUGCCAGUGAUAAACUGGAGGAAGGUGGGGAUGACGUCAAGUCAUCAUGGCCCUUACGACCAGGGCUACACACGUGCUACAAUGGCGCAUACAAAGAGAAGCGACCUCGCGAGAGCAAGCGGACCUCAUAAAGUGCGUCGUAGUCCGGAUUGGAGUCUGCAACUCGACUCCAUGAAGUCGGAAUCGCUAGUAAUCGUGGAUCAGAAUGCCACGGUGAAUACGUUCCCGGGCCUUGUACACACCGCCCGUCACACCAUGGGAGUGGGUUGCAAAAGAAGUAGGUAGCUUAACCUUCGGGAGGGCGCUUACCACUUUGUGAUUCAUGACUGGGGUGAAGUCGUAACAAGGUAACCGUAGGGGAACCUGCGGUUGGAUCACCUCCUUACCUUAAAGAAGC
This 1554-nucleotide ribosomal RNA is filed under the name Escherichia coli. Its description in RNAcentral is "bacterial SSU rRNA". It matches the Rfam family "Bacterial small subunit ribosomal RNA". The record is from RNAcentral. Lineage: Bacteria; Pseudomonadati; Pseudomonadota; Gammaproteobacteria; Enterobacterales; Enterobacteriaceae.